GCGACCCCAGGUCAGGCGGUAUUACCCGCUGAGUUUAAGCAUAUCAAUAAGCAGAGGAAAAGAAACUUACAAAGAUUCCCUUAGUAACAGCGAGCGAACCGGGAACAGCUCAGCCUUAGAAUCGGCCGGCUCCGUCGUCCGAAUUGUAGUCUGGAGAGCCGUCAUCAGCAGUGGACUGGGCCCAAGUCCCCUGGAAGGGGGCUCCAGAGAGGGUGAGAGCCCCGUUAUGCCUGGACCCUAUCGCACCACGAGGCACUAUAUACGAGUCGGGUUGUUUGGGAAUGUAGCCCAAAUCGGGCGGUGAAUUCCGUCCAAGGCUAAAUACGGGCGAAAGACCAAUAGAGAACAAGUGCCGCAAGGGAAAGAUGAAAAGGACUUUGAAAAGAGAGUCAAAAAGUGCUGGAAAUUAUCGGGAGGGAAGCGGAUGGGGGCCGGCGAUGCGCCCUGAGAAGGAUGUAGAACGGCGAUGAGCCGAUCUGCCGAUCGACUCGAGGUGUGGACCAGCGUCGAUUGGGGGGGUGGUCAAACCCUGGUCUCUCGAUAUGCUCGUGGAACUCCGUCUCCUCGAUUGUGGCAUGCAGCGCGCGCCUCCGAUGUUCUUCGCCAUCUACUCGCUCCGGACGCUGGCCUGUGGGCUCCCCAUUCGACCCGUCUUGAAACAUAGACCAAGGAGUCUGACAUGUGUGUGAGUCAACGGGCGAGUAUACCCGUAAGACGCAACGAAGAUGAUUGGUGGGAUCCCCCCGAGGGGUGCACCGUCGACCGACCUUGAUCUUCUGAGAAGGGUUCGAGUGUGAGCAUACCUGUCAGGAUCUGAAAGAUGGUGAACUAUGCCUGAGUGGGGCAAAGCCAGAGAAAACUCAGGUGGAGGCCCGCAGCGAUACUGACGUGCAAAUCGUUCGUCUGACUUGGGUAUAGGGGCAAAAGACUAAUCGAACCGUAUAGUAGCUGGUUCCCUCUGAACUUUCCCUCAGGAUAGCUUGAGCUCACGUGCGAGUUCUAUCGGGUAAAGCUAAUGAUUAGAGUCCUCGGGGGCGCAACGCCCUCGACCUAUUCUCAAACUUUAAAUAGGUAGGACGACGCGGCUGCUUGGUUGAGCCGCACCACGGAAUUAAGAGCUCCAAGUGGGCCAUUUUUGGUAAGCAGAACUGGCGAUGUGGGAUGAACCGAAAGCUGGAUUACGAUUCCAAACUGCGCACUAACCGAGAUCUCACAAAGGGUGUUGGUCGAUUAAGACAGCAAGACGGUGGUCAUGGAAGGCAAAAUCCGCUAAGGAGUGUGUAACAACUCACCUGUCGAAUAAACUAGCCUCAAAAAUGGAUGGAGCUUAAGCGCGCGACCUACACCCGGCCGUCGGGACAAAUGCCAGGCCCCAAUGAGUUGGAGGGCGUGGAGGUCGCUGCAAAACCUUGGGCGAGAUCCCGGGUGGAGCGGCCGUCGGUGCAGAUCUUGGUGGUAGUAGAAAAAACUUUGAAUGCCGAAGUGGGGAAAAGGUCCAUGUUAACGGCACUUGCACAUGGGUUAGUCGAUCCUAAGGUUCGGGGAAACCUGACAGACAGCGCAUUUCGCGCGUGCUCCGAAAGAGAAUGGGGUUAAAAUUCCUGAACUAGGACGUGGCGGUCGACGACAACAUUAGGAAGUUCGGAGACGUCGGCGGGAGCCUCGGGAAGAGUUAUCUUUUCAUUUUAACAGCCUGCCCACCCUGGAAUCAGCUCAGCCAGAGGUAGGGUCCAGCGGCUGGAAGAGCACCGCACGUCGCGUGGUGUCCGGUGCGCUCCCGGCGGCCCUUGAAAAUCUGGAGGACCGAAUGCCAUCCACGCUCGGUCGUACUCAUAACUGGAUCAGGUAUCCAAGUUGAACAACCUCUGGUCGAUGUAACAAUGUAGGCAAGGUAAGUCAGCAAAAUGGAUCUGUAACUUUGGGACAAGGAUUGGCUCUGAGGGCUGGGUUUAGACCGUCGUGAGACAGGUUAGUUUUACCCUAAUGACGACAGUGUCGCAAUAGUAAUUCAACCUAGUACGAGAGGAACCGUUGAUUCACACAAUUGUUCAUCGCGCUUGGUUGAAAAGCCAGUGGAGCGAAGCUACCGUGUGCAGGAUUAUGACUGAACGCCUCUAAGUCAGAAUUCGGGCAACAAGCGACGCAUGUGCCCGCCGUUCGCUUGCCGACCCGCAGUAGGGGCCUCGGCCCCCAAGGGCACGUGU
Molecule: ribosomal RNA, 2204 nt
Filed under: Capsicum baccatum
Lineage: Eukaryota; Viridiplantae; Streptophyta; Magnoliopsida; Solanales; Solanaceae
Description: eukaryotic LSU rRNA
Rfam family: Eukaryotic large subunit ribosomal RNA
Source: RNAcentral